Molecule: long non-coding RNA, 1619 nt
Organism: Homo sapiens (human)
Lineage: Eukaryota; Metazoa; Chordata; Mammalia; Primates; Hominidae
Source: Ensembl
UCUGGGAGGGUGAAAAAAUACUGAUCUUGAGUGAAAAUGGGCUCAAAUUCAUCUAUCCCUUCAAUAUCCACCCAGACCACUAAGGAGGCAGUUGCAUCACCUUUGUCUUUGGCUUGGACUGUGAGGCAGUAUUUAUUGCCAUUUUCAUAGUCAAGGAUUUGCUUAGCAUGAAUAUCCCCUGUCAAAGGGUCAAUGAGGAAGAGAUCAUGAUCAUAAGACAUUCCAUGAGUGAGAAAACAGGGUGAUACAAUAGAAUAGGUCAAUUCUCCAUACGGACCAGCAUCAAAAUCCAGAGCAUUUAUAGAGCAUAUGGUAGAGGAAAUAGGCAGAUUUUCUGGAACAAUACAGCUGAAGCUUGAGAACAUAAACUGAGGUGCAUGGUCGUUAUCAUCCAGGACACUGACAAACACAACUGCAAAAGAAAAAUGUUUCUUUUCUGCAUCUGAAGCUUGGACAGUUAAGGUGAAUUUUGUCAUUUUUUCAUAAUCCAGAGGUUUAAUCAAAUAAAGAACUCCAGUGUUUUCUUCUAAGUAAAAAUGUCCCUUCUCAUUUCCAGAGAUGAUGUUGUAGAUGAUUUCUGCAUGUGACCCUGUGUCACGGUCAUUUGCUGAGACCACAGUGAUGUGACUCCCUAGAGGGGUGCUUUCCUUGACAUGGGUGUGAUAGCUCAGGCUGCUGAAGUUUGGGGGAUUGUCAUUGACAUCAAGUACUUGUAUUGAUAUGACAGCUGUGGAACUCAAUGGAGGGCAGCCACUGUCAGAUGCCAGAAUGACAAGCUCAUGGCUAGCACUUGCUUCUCUGUCCAGACUGUGAAGCAACACAAGAUAACCGACUUGCUUAUAAGGAUAUUCUGAAUGAAAGAACUUAGUUUCCACAUGAAAAUUGUUCUGUGAAUUACCACUGAUGAUGGAAUAUUCAACAUAUGUGUUUUCACGGGUCCAGUCAUGGUCGAUGUUUGAAAAUGUAACAAGCGUGCUUCCAACCAGAGCAUCCUCACUUAGGCUAAGAUUAUAGGAUUUGACUGUGAAUUCAGGGGCAUAAUUGUUCAUAUCUUCUAUUCCUAUCUCCACUAAAGUAAGAGCUCUCAGGUCAGGAUUUCCACCAUCACUGGCUUCCACAAGAAAUUGAGUUGUUGAUAUUGUAUCCAGAAGUAAUACGGGACUGAUAGUAAAUAUUGUGCCUGAAAAAUAAGACAUAGUAUUUCAACACUGUGAGGUGCAGUUUUGAUGAUCCAUUUAAUCGGCAGUUGACUAUCCAAUGUCUACUAAUAUGUGUUUAAUUCUUUGUUAGAUCUGUUAAGUCACAAUGAACAAUGACUCCAAAUAGAAAUACAAAUUAUUGUAUUUAUAUGUUUAUAACAUGUAAGAUACAGAAAUAAUAUUCAUGACAUUCACUCUGUGAAAUAUGUGUGCUGCUUGAGGUUGCUGUUGCCACAAAUUCCUCUGAAUUUUGUUUUUGUAUAGUAAGUUGUUCCACUAUUCUUAAAAAAUAUUUUUGUUUGUAAAAUUUAUACCCCAUUCUACUACCCACAAACACAUGUAUAAAGAUAUUCUGGCAUAAAGAUACUUAUUCUGGAAAUACUUGUUGAUAUUCAAGCCAAAUGAAAGCAGUAAAAAUGA